GACGGAGGAUGCAAGUGUUAUCCGGAAUCACUGGGCGUAAAGCGUCUGUAGGUGGUUCGAAAAGUCCACUGUUAAAAAUUGAGGCUUAACUUCAAAGAUGCCGUGGAAACUUUCAAACUAGAGUAUGGUAGGGGUAGAGGGAAUUUCCAGUGGAGCGGUGAAAUGCGUAGAUAUCAGGAGGAACACCGGUGGCGAAGGCGGGUCUCUGGGCCGAUACUGACGCUGAGGAGCGAAAGCGUGGGGAGCGAACAGG
RNAcentral lists this ribosomal RNA (253 nucleotides) under uncultured bacterium. RNAcentral describes it as "partial 16S ribosomal RNA". It matches the Rfam family "Bacterial small subunit ribosomal RNA", at positions 524 to 776 of the family's 1533-position model. The record is from RNAcentral.